UACGUAGGGCGCAAGCGUUGUCCGGAAUUAUUGGGCGUAAAGAGCUCGUAGGCGGCUUGUCGCGUCGGUUGUGAAAGCCCGGGGCUUAACCCCGGGUCUGCAGUCGAUACGGGCAGGCUAGAGUUCGGUAGGGGAGAUCGGAAUUCCUGGUGUAGCGGUGGAAUGCGCAGAUAUCAGGAGGAACACCGGUGGCGAAGGCGGAUCUCUGGGCCGAUACUGACGCUGAGGAGCGAAGGCGUGGGGAGCAAACAGG
RNAcentral lists this ribosomal RNA (253 nucleotides) under uncultured Streptomyces sp. RNAcentral's name for it is "partial 16S ribosomal RNA". It matches the Rfam family "Bacterial small subunit ribosomal RNA", at positions 524 to 776 of the family's 1533-position model. Lineage: Bacteria; Bacillati; Actinomycetota; Actinomycetes; Kitasatosporales; Streptomycetaceae. The record is from RNAcentral.